This is a long non-coding RNA of Gossypium raimondii (Peruvian cotton), 1240 nucleotides long. RefSeq lists it as uncharacterized. NCBI's taxonomy places the organism in Eukaryota, Viridiplantae, Streptophyta, Magnoliopsida, Malvales, Malvaceae. The transcript is spliced from 5 exons. The record is from RefSeq and is a predicted model, not a curated record.
GAGGAAUGCCGCUAGGGAAGUAUUACUGCGACUAUUACGAUAAGCAAUUUCAAGACACUCCUGCUGCUCGAAAACGCCACUUGCAGGGCCUCCAGCACCUCCGUGCCAAAGCUCAAUGGUUCCACUCCUAAAACGCCCAAGAUCUUUAAAGCCCCCACCUGAGGAUGGAUAUCCACCUCUUCCUUUUGUGGAUUGGGGAUAAAAUCUCUCUCUCUCCCCCUUGCUCUGUUUCUAGACACCAAUUUCCUCAUUUAGUUUCUUCAUUUGUUAAAGCUGUAUCUUCUUGUUUAUAUUAUUAUUACAUGUUAGAUCACCCACUUUCAUUUCCCAAUUCUUUCUCCUUUUACAUUUCUUGUCAUCGUGAGUAUGUCAAUACCUUGAUAAUGGGAAUUCGUUAUAUUACACAACACAAUUGUCUAACAAAUCUAAAAGGUGAAGUGUUAUGGUUCAAUUGAUCCUUGGUUCAGUUUAGUUUGUGCAUUAUAGGAACAAAUGGUAAGAAUGCAAGUGAGAGUAUGAAUGUUGUAUGAUUAGGUGGCGGAAUUUGAGUAGACGCUUCCAAAGUCUAUCCGGAAGCUUCAGAGCUUACUGACAGUUAGAGAUUAUUUGAUGUUUCAAAGCUUCAAGUGCCUGUCUGAUCAACCUCAUCUUCGUAGAGGAAAUUCAACCUGGUUUACACUCAACAUGCUUAUAUGAGACCUCUUGGAGUUGGAAAAUGGAAACCUUCUAGUCAAAAAGCAACAGAUAAGUUGGAGUGUGUUUCAAAUACUUCAAAUGUCAAAUUCUUUAGGAUUGAUCUACAGAAUAGUUUUCAGGUGAGACACCGUUUAAAGAAAGAUCAUGGGAUCAUGGGAUUAAGGGUGGAAUUCCUGUUGUUUUCUCUUUAGAGAAACCUAAAGCUAAGCUGCUUCCUUUUAGAGGACCAAGUGGUGAGGAAGACAACCCUUCAGAUUAUCAAGUGAAGAUGCUUGCUUCUUACUUUUGCAGUUUUAAAGUACUCUAUUUGAUCACCUAACAUCAUGCAGCGGGGAAAUUCAUCCAAUAUAUUGAAGCAGAAUUUAAGAAUUGAAAGUACAUUUGGAUGGAGCUAAAGCUGUGUUUCUUUUAGCGAUAUAUUUGAAUUUGCUAGUGUUAGGUCCCUGGUUUUUGCUAUCUCUAGAUUUAAGGGUAGGAGGAAAAGGAAAAUAUUUUGGUCUACAUUAGUAUGUAUCUACAUGUUUAAUACAACAAUUUAAUGUGU